RNAcentral lists this unclassified non-coding RNA (1779 nucleotides) under Leishmania donovani. Its description in RNAcentral is "gene:unknown". The record is from RNAcentral. Lineage: Eukaryota; Euglenozoa; Kinetoplastea; Trypanosomatida; Trypanosomatidae.
UGCAGAAGACGCUCUUGGCGACCCCACACGCACACACAAAUCCAUCCAAUUCCGAUGGUGGACAAGGCUGGCACCGUAUGUGUCUUUCCUUAGUCGGCGAAAUACCAGAGUAGCACUGCCCGCUGGGCUGCACACUACAGGCUAACGCACGUGGCACUAUCUACGUCAUUGAUCGCAUCCGCCGUAUCGGCUACCUGCUUCGGUUGCACAAACCCACGGCAGCUUUUCCCGCCGCAUCGCCGACGCCGCAGCAGCGUCUCUCGUCGCUGCCCCCAUCGCGCCUGCUGGGAGUAGUGCUGCUCCCCCGGUGUGCAGCUUCAUCUUCCCUCUGAGCCAGCCUAUGGUAGCGUCCCUGCCUCAGCAGACGCAGCUGAUGCAGUUGAAGCAGAUGACCGCCAACACCCCUCAUCCCUCUAUGACAAGCAUGGCGUCGCAGGUUACACCGCUGGACACGUAAGGGCUGGCGAGAUCAUAUCGCGCGAACGCCGUCGUGGAGUUUGACUCUGUGUCGUCCACCACUGCUAUCGUGUGUCCCACCACUCGUUUAGCGUCCUAAGGGAAAAAGCACCUUCACAACGACUCCCCCAGCUCACCUGCUGACGCCCCCUCCCCCCCCCAACCAGCUACCCUUCUUCCCUGCCCUGCACCAGCGAAGAGUCUACUCGUCAAAUUCAACGCCAAGAUAGGACUACAGCGUCCACGGGCACGACGGCAGCAGACAACGACCGCCUGACGGCCUCAUCUGCGCACUCGGUCGCCUCUGUGCCGACCGAUGCCGUCGACCCUCCUUCCAUGCACUGUAGCUCCAUCAUCGAGAGUGGAAUGCGGCAGUCGAUUCACUUCUGCCUUCUCCCGCCGCGCCAUUGCUGGCUCGAGGAAGUCUACCUCACGCUUCGAAUGCCGCGCCCGGUGGCCUACGCGGACGCUGGUGCUCCUCUCCUGCCACUACUGACGAGCCUAUUUCCACAUCGGCGCGCGGCGCAUGUGGCGGCACCUCUCCUUCGUGACACCCAAUCGAGUACAGCGGCAGCGCGAUCGCGGAUGCUGUAUCUCGAAGGUGACCACCCUGGUGUUUGUGGAGCCGCCUAGCCUAAUGACAGCCGCGCAGCGCGAACCGUAUCAUGUGCGACGGCGCCACCCUCGCCGUGUCCGCAGUUGAGCAAGAGGAUCUAGUGCUGAUAGUGGGAGGUACGUUUCUGGAAGAGCGGCCUGAGUUUGCUGGAUUGGCACCUCGUCAUGCAAGGCAUCGACGUUGUGACCUCGUACUGUUCCAUGUGGCGAUGUGCCACUGCGCUCGAAUGAGAAUCUCGUACCUGGCAGUACCUCCAGGCCCAAAGAGUGGCAGGGCCCAGGCCAGUCGCGCUAUCAGGCGAGGGGAGGGGAGGGGAGGGCAUGUCCGACGUAACGGGCACGUUUUUCUUGCAGGGGUCGUUUUUCUGCUUUUGUGUGUGUGUGUGUAUGUGUGUGCUCUCUUAUCUCCUGCACCUGCCCAGUGUGUGCGGCGGGUAGUGAAAGUGCGGUGGAUUUUCUUUUUUUUGUAGUCAUCGACGCGGGACGGCGUGGCAUGCGUCGUGUUCUGCUGUCGUCGUUGUGGUUGCGUGCCAAGCGCCGCAGGCACGGAUAUGAUGACUUUUGAGACUGUGUGUAUGUGUGUGUGUUGCCCUGCGCACUCUGAAGAAAGAGUCGUGGUUGGGGCGGCAUGGGGAGGGGCGCACGUCAUUUCCGGCACUCCCUCCCUGUGCGCACAAUGCACAGUGCAGUCGAUUGGAUGAAGGCAAG